UUCGAUGCUGAUGGUAGACUGACAGU
RNAcentral lists this non-coding RNA (26 nucleotides) under Cricetulus griseus (Chinese hamster). Lineage: Eukaryota; Metazoa; Chordata; Mammalia; Rodentia; Cricetidae. The record is from RNAcentral.